GGGUUGUGAGGUUAAGCGACUAAGCGUACACGGUGGAUGCCCUGGCAGUCAGAGGCGAUGAAGGACGUGCUAAUCUGCGAAAAGCGUCGGUAAGGUGAUAUGAACCGUUACAGCCGGCGAUGUCCGAAUGGGGAAACCCAGUGCAAUUCGUUGCACUAUCGUUAACUGAAUACAUAGGUUAACGAGGCGAACCGGGGGAACUGAAACAUCUAAGUACCCCGAGGAAAAGAAAUCAACCGAGAUUCCCCCAGUAGCGGCGAGCGAACGGGGAGCAGCCCAGAGUCUGAAUCAGCUUGUGUGUUAGUGGAACGGUCUGGAAAGUCCGACGGUACAGGGUGAUAGUCCCGUACACCAAAAUGCACAGGUUGUGAACUCGAAGAGUAGGGCGGGACACGUGGUAUCCUGUCUGAAUAUGGGGGGACCAUCCUCCAAGGCUAAAUACUCCUGACUGACCGAUAGUGAACCAGUACCGUGAGGGAAAGGCGAAAAGAACCCCGGCGAGGGGAGUGAAAAAGAACCUGAAACCGUGUACGUACAAGCAGUGGGAGCACCUUCGGGUGUGACUGCGUACCUUUUGUAUAAUGGGUCAGCGACUUAUAUUCUGUAGCAAGGUUAACCGUAUAGGGGAGCCGCAGGGAAACCGAGUCUUAACUGGGCGUUAAGUUGCAGGGUAUAGACCCGAAACCCGGUGAUCUAGCCAUGGGCAGGUUGAAGGUUGGGUAACACUAACUGGAGGACCGAACCGACUAAUGUUGAAAAAUUAGCGGAUGACUUGUGGCUGGGGGUGAAAGGCCAAUCAAACCGGGAGAUAGCUGGUUCUCCCGAAAGCUAUUUAGGUAGCGCCUCGUGAAUUCAUCUUCGGGGGUAGAGCACUGUUUCGGCUAGGGGGUCAUCCCGACUUACCAACCCGAUGCAAACUACGAAUACCGAAGAAUGUUAUCACGGGAGACACACGGCGGGUGCUAACGUCCGUCGUGAAGAGGGAAACAACCCAGACCGCCAGCUAAGGUCCCAAAGUCAUGGUUAAGUGGGAAACGAUGUGGGAAGGCACAGACAGCCAGGAUGUUGGCUUAGAAGCAGCCAUCAUUUAAAGAAAGCGUAAUAGCUCACUGGUCGAGUCGGCCUGCGCGGAAGAUGUAACGGGGCUAAACCAUGCACCGAAGCUGCGGCAGCGACACUAUGUGUUGUUGGGUAGGGGAGCGUUCUGUAAGCCUGCGAAGGUGACCUGUGAGGGUUGCUGGAGGUAUCAGAAGUGCGAAUGCUGACAUAAGUAACGAUAAAGCGGGUGAAAAGCCCGCUCGCCGGAAGACCAAGGGUUCCUGUCCAACGUUAAUCGGGGCAGGGUGAGUCGACCCCUAAGGCGAGGCCGAAAGGCGUAGUCGAUGGGAAACAGGUUAAUAUUCCUGUACUUGGUGUUACUGCGAAGGGGGGACGGAGAAGGCUAUGUUAGCCGGGCGACGGUUGUCCCGGUUUAAGCAUGUAGGCUGGUUGUCCAGGCAAAUCCGGAUAAUCAAGGCUGAGGUGUGAUGACGAGGCACUACGGUGCUGAAGUAACAAAUGCCCUGCUUCCGUGAAAGCCUCUAAGCAUCAGGUAACAUCAAAUCGUACCCCAAACCGACACAGGUGGUCAGGUAGAGAAUACCAAGGCGCUUGAGAGAACUCGGGUGAAGGAACUAGGCAAAAUGGUGCCGUAACUUCGGGAGAAGGCACGCUGGUGUGUAGGUGAAGUCCCUGCGGAUGGAGCUGAGACCAGUCGAAGAUACCAGCUGGCUGCAACUGUUUAUUAAAAACACAGCACUGUGCAAACACGAAAGUGGACGUAUACGGUGUGACGCCUGCCCGGUGCCGGAAGGUUAAUUGAUGGGGUUAUCCGUAAGGAGAAGCUCUUGAUCGAAGCCCCGGUAAACGGCGGCCGUAACUAUAACGGUCCUAAGGUAGCGAAAUUCCUUGUCGGGUAAGUUCCGACCUGCACGAAUGGCGUAAUGAUGGCCAGGCUGUCUCCACCCGAGACUCAGUGAAAUUGAACUCGCUGUGAAGAUGCAGUGUACCCGCGGCAAGACGGAAAGACCCGUGAACCUUUACUAUAGCUUGACACUGAACAUUGAGCCUUGAUGUGUAGGAUAGGUGGGAGGCUUUGAAGCGUGGACGCCAGUCUGCGUGGAGCCAACCUUGAAAUACCACCCUUUAAUGUUUGAUGUUCUAACGUUGGCCCCUGACCGGGGUUGCGGACAGUGUCUGGUGGGUAGUUUGACUGGGGCGGUCUCCUCCCAAAGCGUAACGGAGGAGCACGAAGGUUAGCUAAUCCUGGUCGGACAUCAGGAGGUUAGUGCAAUGGCAUAAGCUAGCUUGACUGCGAGCGUGACGGCGCGAGCAGGUGCGAAAGCAGGUCAUAGUGAUCCGGUGGUUCUGAAUGGAAGGGCCAUCGCUCAACGGAUAAAAGGUACUCCGGGGAUAACAGGCUGAUACCGCCCAAGAGUUCAUAUCGACGGCGGUGUUUGGCACCUCGAUGUCGGCUCAUCACAUCCUGGGGCUGAAGUAGGUCCCAAGGGUAUGGCUGUUCGCCAUUUAAAGUGGUACGCGAGCUGGGUUUAGAACGUCGUGAGACAGUUCGGUCCCUAUCUGCCGUGGGCGCUGGAGAAUUGAGGGGGGCUGCUCCUAGUACGAGAGGACCGGAGUGGACGCAUCACUGGUGUUCGGGUUGUCAUGCCAAUGGCACUGCCCGGUAGCUAAAUGCGGAAGAGAUAAGUGCUGAAAGCAUCUAAGCACGAAACUUGCCCCGAGAUGAGUUCUCCCUGAGACUUUAAGUCUCCUGAAGGAACGUUAAAGACGAUGACGUUGAUAGGCCGGGUGUGUAAGCGCAGCGAUGCGUUGAGCUAACCGGUACUAAUGAACCGUGAGGCUUAACCUUACAACGCCGAAG
Molecule: ribosomal RNA, 2920 nt
Filed under: Klebsiella pneumoniae
Lineage: Bacteria; Pseudomonadati; Pseudomonadota; Gammaproteobacteria; Enterobacterales; Enterobacteriaceae
Description: bacterial LSU rRNA
Rfam family: Bacterial large subunit ribosomal RNA
Source: RNAcentral